UAAAAUAUAAUAUAAAUUUAACCAUAAUAUUAUCGUUAAUUCUUUUUAAUUAAUUUUAAUAUUAUAAUAAAUUAUUAGCUAAAUUACAAAAAUAUUUAUUACUAACUAUAAUUGAAAAUAAAAUAUAAUUAAACUUAAAAUUAUGAAAAGUAUGUCAAAUCAGCGAAUUCACUUUUUAAAUAAUAUUGAUUUGCUAAUAUUAUAUAUAUUCUGCUAAUAUUUACCAUUUUGCUAAUUUUAAGCAAAUUCACUUCUCAAAUCAGCAAAUUAACACUAUAUAUAUUAUUUACUAUUUAUUAUUUUUUGCAAAUAUUUUUGCUCAUAUUUGCCAAAUACUGAUUUGACUAUUAAUCAAUCAAUCAAUUAUUGAUAAACAUUUAGUGUUGAAAAUAGAAAAUAUUGUUUAAUCGGUACAAUCUAUACUAUUUUGUAAUUUUUUAUAUAAAUUUUCAAGGAGAAAACAAGUUCCGUUCUUACGUAGUUUAAAAUAAAUAAAUAAAUAAUGUAACUGCAAAAUCUCUUCCUACCUUUUAACUCCUAAGUUUUCUCAAUCACUUCCACCGCGUUCAUUGUUGAACCAUAGCAUUUGCAACUUCCAAAUGGUUUCAUUUUCUACGUAACUUUUGGCAACUAAUUUGUUUCUUUUAUUUUUUUCUCCCACUAUUUUUGUCUAUGAUUUCUUCUUCUUCAUCAAUUUGCUUUUCUGUGUUUUGGAGUGUAGUAAAAGAAAAAAUAUACAGGUUUAUGACAACUUUUUUUUGACUAAAAGAGUAUUUUUUUUAAUUCAGAUGAUAUAUUCUCUUCUUUACCUGAUAUUCAUUUUUUGCAUGAUUUAUUUUGAAGAUGGCAGUUGAGGUCCUCCUAUUUUAGAGCUUAGUUCUUCAGAAAAGAAAUGAAAAUUAAAGCAUCGUCGAUAAAUGAGGUAAUAGUUGGUACAUACGAUUCUAUUUUAUAAUAAUUUUUGAGUUAGAUUAUUCUUUUGUUUUUAUUUACAAAAAGAGGAUUAAUUAUUUUACAAACUUUAGCUUUUUGUUUUUUCCAUUGGCUUAUUCUUAAGAUAACAAGGGGAUCUCGCUGCUUAUAUGGAUAUAUAAUCAUAUAAGACAUCAUACAGACCUUAACUCAUUUUGAAAUAUGAAUGGUAAAAUAAAGACUAUGUCAUCUUACCAUUGAGGAACAUGAAGAUGAUAAGUGAUGCUGAGAGAAAGAGGUUAAUAUCAAUGGUUAGAAGAGGUAUUUUAGUCCAGGUUCUAAAACGCGGCCUACAGUUUCCUAGGUACAAUAUAUAUAUAUAUAUAUAUAUAUAUAUAUAUAUAUAUAUAUAUAUAUAUAUAUAUAUAUAUAUAUAUUUUUUGUCAAACCCUAGGUACAAUAUAUAUAAUUUCUGGAUUUUAGUAGAAAAAAAGAAGAUUGCCGAAAACGUGUGGAACUGUGGAUGACAAGACAUUCAAGAAUUAGCUCAAUAACAUAAUUAAAAAUCAAUUGUGUGUAUUUCAUUCUAUUUCCAUAAAAAAAAGCAAAUGUUGUAUAACUAAAAUGGGUCUAUUCCCCAUCUAUGAAAUUAAUACUUUUGUUUUA
This is a long non-coding RNA of Brassica rapa (field mustard), 1578 nucleotides long. RefSeq lists it as uncharacterized. NCBI's taxonomy places the organism in Eukaryota, Viridiplantae, Streptophyta, Magnoliopsida, Brassicales, Brassicaceae. The record is from RefSeq and is a predicted model, not a curated record.